GGCGGGAUUCCUGAGCGGUCAAAGGGGCGCGGCUGUAAACCGUGUGGCUCUGCCUUCGGAGGUUCGAAUCCUCCUCCCGCCA
Molecule: transfer RNA, 82 nt
Filed under: Paraconexibacter antarcticus
Lineage: Bacteria; Bacillati; Actinomycetota; Thermoleophilia; Solirubrobacterales; Paraconexibacteraceae
Description: Paraconexibacter sp. 02-257 tRNA-Tyr
Rfam family: tRNA
About the family: Transfer RNA (tRNA) molecules are approximately 80 nucleotides in length. Their secondary structure includes four short double-helical elements and three loops (D, anti-codon, and T loops). Further hydrogen bonds mediate the characteristic L-shaped molecular structure. tRNAs have two regions of fundamental functional importance: the anti-codon, which is responsible for specific mRNA codon recognition, and the 3' end, to which the tRNAs corresponding amino acid is attached (by aminoacyl-tRNA synthetases). tRNAs cope with the degeneracy of the genetic code in two manners: having more than one tRNA (with a specific anti-codon) for a particular amino acid; and 'wobble' base-pairing, i.e. permitting non-standard base-pairing at the 3rd anti-codon position.
Source: RNAcentral